Solanum pennellii is the source of this 1409-nucleotide long non-coding RNA. RefSeq lists it as uncharacterized. Lineage: Eukaryota; Viridiplantae; Streptophyta; Magnoliopsida; Solanales; Solanaceae. The transcript has 2 exons. The record is from RefSeq and is a predicted model, not a curated record.
UUCUGGCCCACAUUAAAAAUGGGCUAGCCCGGCCUGGCCUGUAAAAUGUCAAAGUCUGUAUGGGUUAGCCUGGAUGGGGUGGGCUAGCCCAUAUUGACAGCUCUAGUUCUAAUCCAUAGAGUUGUAGACUCAUUAAGUGACAUUGAUAUGAAUAAAAGCCCCUAAAACUGCAAAAGUCUUCUCCUAAUCCCAAUUGUUUUCUCGUUUUGCUGGGGAGGUAGGGGAGCGGAGCGGAUUUCAUUUGGUAUUCUCUCAAGCUUGUAUGCUUGCUCUUUUAUUGGACAACCAAAGUUAAAAAGUGAAGUUCUUGUACAAGUUGAAAUGCUGGUUAUCAACUUACAGAGGCCAUAGAGAGAGGGCCACGAUAACAUAAGAUUUUUACUUCUGCUGCACUAGAGUUCUGAGUCUGAACCUCGAUUAGUAAAUUGUGAACCUGAUGAAAUAGGACCACUUCCACCAUAUGGAACAUUAUCAUCCUUGAACAACAUAUUAUGCAUUCUCAGAUUGAAUGCAGACUUCGCGUGAUGUAUGUGAUGUGAUUUUUCUGUACUUGUCUGAUUAGAUUAUUUGCAAAGUACUUCUUCUUGUAGAUUUUGUGAAUCAUGUGGCUACGAGAUUGUUAAAGAAUUAAUUUUCUAAAUAAGCUCAAGUAUCAGUGCACUAUGAAGGUCUGAAACUUAGCAUAUAUCUUUUGGCCUUUGUCAUCGUAGUUCUUGCUGAAUAAAACAUAUGCUUAGAUUCAUUCUAAUACUUGGUAUUCAACCAGAUUGCAACGAUGAUUUAUGAUGAAUGUCAGAAGGUUCACGCGAAGUUUUACCAUGCAGUCUAUGGACUAAGAGAAUGUCUGAACGUAGGGCACGAUAGGUGCUCCACAGAAACAUAUGUUUUCUCCUGUAACUGUCAUUUGACUUUUGGUCUAAAUGAAUACAUGUAUCGUAGUUUUGAUGCUGACCCCAACUUCACUGAAUUAUGGAUCCUACGCGAGUGUUAUUUUAUGACUCCAAGUAUUUAUAGAGUUGAACCACUCUUGACUCAACCAAGGAUAUGUUGUUUUCUUCAUUGACAACAGAAUUUGCAGGCUCAGCAACUUCAAUGAGGAUUUUGUCAACAGUCCCACACGAGUAGGGUCUGAGGAAGGUAAUGUGUAGCGAUGGACCCUCGGCCCAUGCAGUAAUGUACUCAACCGGUCAACCCUAAGAUUUGUCGAGGAAAUCAACAUCUUCAAAUAUAGGGGCAGCUUGGCCUGGAUCCCGCUUUCCUUUUUAGCCUAUUUCAAAAGGGUCACUUACGUUCUUUUUUCGGUAAUUCUUUCAUUUCAACUAUUUUUCUCGUUGACAUGUUUAAUACUACGAGAUUCAAAAGUGUUUGUUACUUAAACAUGGAAAACGGAAUCAUCAUAGGCUAGUCAA